AUGCAAGUCGAACGAGACGAUUGAAAGCUUGCUUUUGAAAGUCGAGUGGCAAACGGGUGAGUAACGCGUAGACAACCUGCCGUAAAGAUGGGGACAACAGUCCGAAAGGACUGCUAAUACCGAAUGUUGUAAAUCUUCCGCAUGGAAGACUUACUAAAGGUGGCCUCUACUUGUAAGCUAUCGCUUUACGAUGGGUCUGCGUCUGAUUAGCUGGUUGGUGGGGUAACGGCCUACCAAGGCGACGAUCAGUAGCCGGUCUGAGAGGAUGAACGGCCACAUUGGAACUGAGACACGGUCCAGACUCCUACGGGAGGCAGCAGUGGGAAUCUUCCGCAAUGGGCGCAAGCCUGACGGAGCAACGCCGCGUGAGUGAAGAAGGGUUUCGACUCGUAAAGCUCUGUUGUCGGGGACGAACGUGGAGACGGCAAAUAGUCGUUUCCAAUGACGGUACCUGACGAGGAAGCCACGGCUAACUACGUGCCAGCAGCCGCGGUAAUACGUAGGUGGCGAGCGUUGUCCGGAAUUAUUGGGCGUAAAGGGAGCGCAGGCGGGAAGGUAAGUCUAUCUUAAAAGUGCGGGGCUCAACCCCGUGAGGGGAUGGAAACUAUCUUUCUUGAGUGCAGGAGAGGAAAGCGGAAUUCCUAGUGUAGCGGUGAAAUGCGUAGAUAUUAGGAGGAACACCAGUGGCGAAGGCGGCUUUCUGGACUGUAACUGACGCUGAGGCUCGAAAGCGUGGGGAGCGAACAGGAUUAGAUACCCUGGUAGUCCACGCCGUAAACGAUGAAUGCUAGGUGUAGGAGGUAUCGACCCCUUCUGUGCCGGAGUUAACGCAAUAAGCAUUCCGCCUGGGGAGUACGGCCGCAAGGCUGAAACUCAAAGGAAUUGACGGGGGCCCGCACAAGCGGUGGAGUAUGUGGUUUAAUUCGACGCAACGCGAAGAACCUUACCAGGGCUUGACAUUGAGUGAAAGGACAAGAGAUUGUCCCCUCUCUUCGGAGACACGAAAACAGGUGGUGCAUGGCUGUCGUCAGCUCGUGUCGUGAGAUGUUGGGUUAAGUCCCGCAACGAGCGCAACCCUUAUCCUUUGUUGCCAGCACGUUAUGGUGGGAACUCAAAGGAGACUGCCGCGGACAACGCGGAGGAAGGCGGGGAUGACGUCAAGUCAUCGUGCCCCUUAUGUCCUGGGCUACGCACGUACUACAAUGGGAUGGACAGAGAGCAGCGAAGCCGCGAGGCCAAGCGAACCCCAUAAACCAUCUCCCAGUUCGGAUUGCAGGCUGCAACCCGCCUGCAUGAAGUUGGAAUCGCUAGUAAUCGCAGGUCAGCAUACUGCGGUGAAUACGUUCCCGGGCCUUGUACACACCGCCCGUC
This 1371-nucleotide ribosomal RNA is filed under the name metagenome. RNAcentral's name for it is "bacterial SSU rRNA". It matches the Rfam family "Bacterial small subunit ribosomal RNA", at positions 55 to 1398 of the family's 1533-position model. The record is from RNAcentral.